Molecule: ribosomal RNA, 252 nt
Filed under: uncultured bacterium
Lineage: Bacteria
Description: partial 16S ribosomal RNA
Rfam family: Bacterial small subunit ribosomal RNA
Source: RNAcentral
UACGGAGGAUGCGAGCGUUAUCCGGAUUUAUUGGGUUUAAAGGGUGCGCAGGCGGUCUGUUAAGUCAGCGGUCAAAGCCCGGGGCUCAACCCCGGCCCGCCGUUGAAACUGGCAGUCUCGAGUUGGAGAGAAGUAUGCGGAAUGCGCGGUGUAGCGGUGAAAUGCAUAGAUAUCACGCAGAACUCCGAUUGCGAAGGCAGCGUACCGGCAUCCAACUGACGCUGAGGCACGAAAGCGUGGGGAUCAAACAGG